AUACUUACCUGGACGGGGUCGAUGGGCGAUCAAGAUGGCCCAUGGCCUAGGCUAGUGGCCUCCAUUGCACUUGGGAGGAGCACUGGCUUACCAUCUCCCCAAGUGGGAGAGUGGACGUCGUAAUUUGUGGUAGAGGGGGAACGCGCGCGCCGCGGCCCCUG
Musa acuminata subsp. malaccensis (wild Malaysian banana) is the source of this 161-nucleotide non-coding RNA. The record is from Rfam. Lineage: Eukaryota; Viridiplantae; Streptophyta; Magnoliopsida; Zingiberales; Musaceae.